CGCCCAUGUCGCCGCCAUUGCCCGGUCGCAGAUUGGAGCACGGACCCGCCUCGCACCUCCUGCCACCCGCCGCCACUUUGCCAGGUAGGACACCCUUCUUCCAUGCUUAAGCUGAGUUGAUCUUCUCAUCUGGCGGGCUCAAGCUCCUCGUGGUCAUCCGAGCUGACCUCCUCGCCUUGAUAGGUGAGAUUCAUACUGAAAUUGCCACGCUUAUUUUUGUUUUUACCUCACUGAAGACAUAAGGAGGUUUAACCAAGAAGUCUCCGAGUUGGUUCUUGGGAGUAGUUAGCACUUACAAAUAUGUAUCUCUAAUUGAGUGCCACCGAAUAUUUUUCCAGGUACUAACCUAAUGAUCAUAUACGGUCUUGUUUUAGGAUCCCCCAGCAGAUGAACCAGAGGUACUUCCAGGAAUUCCUCUCAUAUUCGGACUGUGCUAAGCUAUUCGAAUUUGACUUUCAGGAUUACAUUCAUCAUUUUGGACGUACUGCACCUGGUGAUAAAGGAAAAGGAACUGUAUUGUUAUUCUUCAUGCCCAAACAAUUAGAGUUUCUCAUCUCCUUGAGGGCAGCCAACAUUCAUCUCACAGAGCACGAGUUUAAUAACAAGAAUGUGCCAAAUAUGCAAGCACAUUUUGAUAAAAUUGUUGGCGAUAGCUACUUUCUACAUCAGUCGGCUCAGCCAGCCUAUAGAUCCUAAAUUCUACCAUACGACUCACACGCCAUGAAAGACAUCUUUAGUGUUCAUGGUCUCAGUUUGAAGGUAAAAUGCUUCUUGAAGGUUUUUGUGGGAUCUCUGUAUUUUUAUGUUUCGCUGGUUUACAGGUCGCUGUUAUUUUGGAUAGCAUGUAGAAGCAACCUUGUCUUUUUGUUAAUAUUUCGGUGAGCAUCUCCCAGAAGUACUUGGCUGAUAGUAUUUUCAUCACCGCUAAUAUUUUUGUUUCAUGAAAAGGUUCUCCUGUUUAUCUUGUGUAAACUGACUUCACAUACCAAAUUUGUUUUUAAUGUCCAAUUCACUACGAUUUGCCAGGACGUAGGUGCAUCAUUUUACUUUAGCAACCCUCCAAAAGUGGAAAUUGACCUGGAGUGCAGAGUUAUGAGGAAAAUAUGUUAUAACAGAAUUGUUGGUUCUAGACAGAGGCGAAAGAGGCAUUGCAUCACUGCUGCAAAUCCUUAAUUAUAACAGGUAGUUUGCAAGAUUAGAGAGGGCCAGAUUCUUUCGGUUGUUUGUUAUGACACAAAUACAAAAGCUGAAAUGAUUUAGUAUAUGGACCAAAUCAAGGACAUAGUUCAGCGGAUGGGAUAAAGCCAUACAAAGUUACAUAUACAAGUAAUUGUUUCCAAUCUUUCUAUGAGCAUGAACCUGAGUUAAUAUCGAAAGUGCUCGCCUAUGUGAUUACCAUCUUUUUUCCUCAUCUCCUUUCUUUAACAGGUUACAAUUGUAAAUUUGGAAAGGAAAUUGAUAUUUUUAACUCUUGUUCCAAAACAGGUGGCCUUGAAUUUGGUAAAACUUGCAUGCCUGUCCCUAUUUAUUUUGAAAUUUUGGGCAAACUCUGUAUGGUUUUCUGUUGGACAACAUCGGCGAGAAGGCAAGAUGCUAAAGUAUUUAAGGUUUGCGCCUUGCCUCCUUUUGAGUUAGGUGGAAAUUAGUUCAUGGACCAAUUCUUUCUUUUGAUGUUUUAUUAUUGUUUUUCUAUUAUAGCCGAGGAACUAGCAUAUUUUUUACAGGAUUGAUCGAUUUGUUGAUUUGUUUGUUUUAUUUUGUUCCUGUAGUUGUAGUCUCACUAGUAGA
This is a long non-coding RNA of Aegilops tauschii subsp. strangulata, 1788 nucleotides long. RefSeq lists it as uncharacterized. The record is from RefSeq and is a predicted model, not a curated record. Lineage: Eukaryota; Viridiplantae; Streptophyta; Magnoliopsida; Poales; Poaceae.